AGCUCCUGGCAAUGGGCAAGGAGACACCUUGAUGGUGGCACUGUUCUUAUAUCAUUAGUCAGGGACAGAGCAGAUGGCAGUCCUUUGUUUAUUCUGGCUUGAUGCCUUGCUUGGUGGCCACAGCUGUCAUAAGCCUAGGACACAUAA
Small nucleolar RNA from Grammomys surdaster, 147 nucleotides. RefSeq annotates it as small nucleolar RNA SNORA48. The record is from RefSeq and is a predicted model, not a curated record. NCBI's taxonomy places the organism in Eukaryota, Metazoa, Chordata, Mammalia, Rodentia, Muridae. The transcript has a single exon.